Molecule: RNA transcript, 672 nt
Organism: Nomascus leucogenys (northern white-cheeked gibbon)
Lineage: Eukaryota; Metazoa; Chordata; Mammalia; Primates; Hylobatidae
Gene name: craniofacial development protein 1 pseudogene
Exons: 1
Source: RefSeq, a predicted model, not a curated record
AUGGAGGAAUUCAACUCCGAAGACUUCUCCACGUCAGAGGAGGACGAGGACUACGUGCUGUUGGGUGGAGAGUAUAGUGAAGAUGACGUAAAUGAAUUAGUCAAGGAAGAUGAAGUGGAUGGUGAAGAGCAGACACAGAAAACCCAAGGGAAAAAGAGAAAGGCCCAGAGCAUUCCAGCCAGGAAGAGAAGACAAGGUGGCCUCUCAUUAGAAGAAGAGGAAGAGGAGGAUGCCGAUUCAGAAUCUGAGGGAAGCAGUAGUGAGGAGGAAGAUGAAGCUGCAGAGCAGGAAAAAGGCAUUGGAUCAGAGGAUGCCAGGAAAAAGAAGGAGGACGAACUCUGGGCCAGCUUCCUCAAUGAUGUGGGACCAAAAUCAAAAGUGCCCUUAAGUACACAAGUUAAGAAAGGAGAGGAGACUGAAGAGACAAGUUCAAGUAAUUUGUUGGUAAAAGCAGAAGAGCUAGAGAAACCUAAAGAAACAGAAAAAGUUAAAAUCACCAAGGUGUUUGAUUUUGCUGGUGAAGAAGUAAGGGUAACUAAGGAAGUGGAUGCUACAUCUAAAGAGGCCAAAUCCUUCUUCAAGCAGAAUGAGAAAGAAAAACCACAGGCAAAUGUCCCUUCAGCUGUGCCAUCACUCCCUGCCGGGUCAGGGAAGAAGAAAUUUGAUGCCUAG